RNAcentral lists this ribosomal RNA (385 nucleotides) under uncultured eukaryote. RNAcentral describes it as "partial 18S ribosomal RNA". It matches the Rfam family "Eukaryotic small subunit ribosomal RNA", at positions 592 to 976 of the family's 1831-position model. The record is from RNAcentral.
CAAGAGCGUAUAUUAAAGUUGUUACAGUUAAAAAGCUCGUAGUUGGAUUUCUGGUACAAUGCGCCUGGCCCGCGACCGUUAGGUCUGUGAGUGCCGGUGCGCGUUUGCCAUCCUUCUAGAAAACGUUUCUACCCUUCACUGGGCCGGACUCGCGAUCUAGAUCUUUUACUUUGAAAAAAUUAGAGUGUUUAAAGCAGGCUUUUGCUGUGAAUACAUUAGCAUGGAAUAAUAAGAUAGGACUGCGGUCUAUUUUGUUGGUUACAGGCCGAAGUAAUGAUUAAUAGGGAUAGUUGGGGGUAUUCAUAUUUGGCAGUCAGAGGUGAAAUUCUUAGAUUUGCUGAAGAUGAACAACUGCGAAAGCAUUUACCAAGGAUGUUUUCAUUAA